RNAcentral lists this ribosomal RNA (466 nucleotides) under uncultured bacterium. RNAcentral's name for it is "bacterial SSU rRNA". It matches the Rfam family "Bacterial small subunit ribosomal RNA", at positions 344 to 802 of the family's 1533-position model. The record is from RNAcentral.
GGAGGCAGCAGUGGGGAAUUUUGGACAAUGGGGGCAACCCUGAUCCAGCAAUGCCGCGUGUGUGAAGAAGGCCUUCGGGUUGUAAAGCACUUUUGUCCGGAAAGAAAUCCCUUGCCCUAAUACGGCGGGGGGAUGACGGUACCGGAAGAAUAAGCACCGGCUAACUACGUGCCAGCAGCCGCGGUAAUACGUAGGGUGCGAGCGUUAAUCGGAAUUACUGGGCGUAAAGCGUGCGCAGGCGGUUUUGUAAGACAGGCGUGAAAUCCCCGAGCUCAACUUGGGAAUGGCGCUUGUGACUGCAAGGCUAGAGUAUGUCAGAGGGGGGUAGAAUUCCACGUGUAGCAGUGAAAUGCGUAGAGAUGUGGAGGAAUACCGAUGGCGAAGGCAGCCCCCUGGGACGUCACUGACGCUCAUGCACGAAAGCGUGGGGAGCAAACAGGAUUAGAUACCCUGGUAGUCCACGCCC